This 489-nucleotide ribosomal RNA is filed under the name Triticum aestivum (bread wheat). Its description in RNAcentral is "partial small subunit ribosomal RNA". The record is from RNAcentral. Lineage: Eukaryota; Viridiplantae; Streptophyta; Magnoliopsida; Poales; Poaceae.
AUGUGUGUGUUCUUGAUGCCUGCCGUCGUUUGCCCACACUGCUUUCGCAGGCAAGCUUGUGGUGCUCCAUUUCUGGCUGGUGGCUGGAGGUUGGUGAGUCAGGUCCAGAUCUGGGCUUUUACGCAGGCUGUUACAUCAGGGGCUAAUCUGGAAUAUGAAUUGUCUGUAUGUGGGAGUCCAAGAGAUCAUGGGGAUCUACCAAGUGGGGACGUGCCUAUUGUCAGCCACUCAUCCAUUAUUUGUCAGUCACCGCAGCAAAAGGACAUGAGAGGCACUCGUCGACCUCUACCCUGCAACAUACGUCAACUUGGUCCCAGCCACAAUGUUCAACCAACCGUAGCUAGCUGGGCCAACUUGCCUAUUCUUGGCACAAUCUCUGGGGGUGUGUUUUCUUGUAAUAUUUGUAGGUUGUAUGUGUUGAAACUAGUUAAGUACUUUGCCUUUCUAGUCUUUUCUAAGGAUUACAAUUUGUCGCGUGUGCAUGGAUGA